RNAcentral lists this ribosomal RNA (511 nucleotides) under uncultured bacterium. Its description in RNAcentral is "bacterial SSU rRNA". It matches the Rfam family "Bacterial small subunit ribosomal RNA", at positions 15 to 518 of the family's 1533-position model. The record is from RNAcentral.
AGUUAUGGCUCAGGAUGAACGCUAGCGACAGGCUUAACACAUGCAAGUCGAGGGCGAGCAUAAAAGUAGCAAUACUUGGUGGCGACCGGCGCACGGGUGAGUAACGCGUAUGCAACCUACCUAUCAGAGGGGAAUAACCCGGCGAAAGUCGGACUAAUACCGCAUAAAACAGGGGCACCGCAUGGUGAUAUUUGUUGAAGAAAUUCGCUGAUAGAUGGGCAUGCGUUCCAUUAGGUAGUUGGUGAGGUAACGGCUCACCAAGCCGACGAUGGAUAGGGGAACUGAGAGGUUGGUCCCCCACACUGGUACUGAGACACGGACCAGACUCCUACGGGAGGCAGCAGUGAGGAAUAUUGGUCAAUGGGCGGGAGCCUGAACCAGCCAAGUCGCCGUGAAGGAAGAAGGAUCUAUGGUUCGUAAACUUCUUUUGCAGGGGAAUAAAGUGCAGGGCGUGUCCUGUUUUGUAUGUACCCUGAGAAUAAGGAUCGGCUAACUCCGUGCCAGCCGCUGC